ACUCCUACGGGAGGCAGCAGUGGGAAGUAUUGGCACAAUGGGGAAACCCUGAUGCAGCCAUGCCGCGUGUGUGAAGAAGGCCUUCGGGUUGUAAAGCACUUUCAGUAGGGAGGAAGGUAGUGUAGUUAACACCUGCACUAUUUGACGUUACCUACAGAAGAAGCACCGGCUAACUCCGUGCCAGCAGCCGCGGUAAUACGGAGGGUGCGAGCGUUAAUCGGAAUUACUGGGCGUAAAGCGCAUGCAGGCGGCCUGUUAAGUCAGAUGUGAAAGCCCGGGGCUUAACCUCGGAAUUGCAUUUGAAACUAGGCAGGCUAGAGUCUUGUAGAGGGGGGUAGGAAUUUCAGGUGUAGCGGUGAAAU
RNAcentral lists this ribosomal RNA (362 nucleotides) under uncultured bacterium. RNAcentral describes it as "bacterial SSU rRNA". It matches the Rfam family "Bacterial small subunit ribosomal RNA", at positions 335 to 687 of the family's 1533-position model. The record is from RNAcentral.